Molecule: long non-coding RNA, 2671 nt
Organism: Equus caballus (horse)
Lineage: Eukaryota; Metazoa; Chordata; Mammalia; Perissodactyla; Equidae
Source: Ensembl
CAUCCAAGCAAUUGCAUGUUUCGAUAGUUUCUUCUUUUGUAUUGACCUUUUAUCAUUCUUUUUUAUUUUUCCAUUCCAUUGUAUGGAUGUACCAGCAGUUUGUUUAUCUAUUUACCUGUUGAAGGACAUUUGGAGUCUUUCUCGUUUUUGGUGAUUACGCUUCUAUCAACUUUUCUGUUCAAGUUGUUGUGUGAACGUAAAAGAUCCUGCUUCAUUUGGAUGGCAACCAAGUCAGCCAUAUGGGAAGGAAAAUAAUCUAGUGAGUUGCAAAAUAAGAAAUCAUGGUCCAUGUGUUCCGUUGGAUGGCUUUCUUUGGGAUAUAAGCUCAAUGUGAAGUGGACUGUUGGUCAUCUGACAAAGGCAUAUUUUUGGCCCCAGUUAUCCAGUUAUAUGUCCACACUGGUAAUAUUAACCAAGGAAUUAUCUUUAUGUUGCGUAGACCUGAGUAAAAAAUACUUUAGGGCUGGCACCAUGGCUGAGCAGGUAAGUUUGCGAGCUCUGCUUUGGGGUAGCCGAGGUUUUUGCCAGUUCGGAUCCUGGGCGCGGACACAGCACCGCUCAUCAGGCCACGCUGAGGGGUUAGGCCAUGCUGAGGGGGCAUCCCACAUAACAUGACCAGAAGGACCUACAACUAGAAUAUACAACUAUGUACUGGGGGGCUUUGAGGAGAAGAAGAAGAAAAAAGAAAGAAGAUUGGCAACAGAUGUUAGCUCAGGUGCCAAUCUUAAAAAAACCCCAAAAAACCCCUUUAAAACGUGCCACAAAGCGUCCUUGCUGUUCUGUCGAUAUAGGGAAAUUUAUUCUAGGAAUGCAAAUAUCAUAAAUAUGGAAGAUCUCACAAUUGUAACAAAAAGAGGUUUCUUUGAAUCCACUUCAGUGAGUCUAACGUUUGAAUUGGAAAAGAGCAGAGACAGGAGAGAUGAAGUGACAUUCCCCCAAAGGCACAUUCCAGGAUGAUAUUUUAACGCAGCCUGUCAUCUUCUGCCCUCCCUUUCCUCCCAGUUUUUGCAUUCUCUCUCUUUUUUCUGUCUUUUCUCUUUCCCCCUCCUCUCUUUUCCCUGUCUUUAGAAACCCUUUAGAAGUCAGGGCAUAGCUAGGGUGCUGUGACAAUGGUGGGAAAGAGAGAAGAGAGGCACUGUUUCUAUUCAAACCCUUUAUAUCUUUUCUCAUCUUCUCUUCUAGCAAGCACGACAGGUUAACUAUGGAGAAGAUACACCAGUACUCACACACACACACUCACACACACACAGACCCCACUUUAUUCUGUGCCAGAGCAGAGCUCCUGAAAACUGCUGCCAAGUGGCAGCCACCCAAGAGACUGCUGAAUUUCUGGCACUGGGCAGAAUCGAUGGCUGAGGCCAAGUGAUUGUUGCUGAACUCACCUGUGUCGAAAGGUCAGCCUUGCGGUGCUAAGGCUGGGCACAGGCACUCGAGGCAAAUUGGAUUGUGAAUGGAGGCCCUGAGGCAUGUUCUGCACUUUGCAACUGGUCUGGCAGGCUCCUCCACCUCCUGAGUCUGCCACAGGCAUGGGAAACACCUGGGCAGCGACAAAGGCAGAAAACUCCUAGCUUGUUUGGAAAUGUUGCUACUGAAGAAUCCAGUGUAGACAAAUAGGACAUCCCUUUGUUCUGCGAAGGAUGAGUUGGCAACAAGUGGGCCCUCCAAGGCCUUCAGGCACGGUGAGAUUUGGAGUUUCCCCCAUUGGAGGAACCAGUUGGGUCUGCUUGGCUCCCUUAUAAAAAUUUCUUGAAUGUAUUGCUUGUGUCUUGUGAGUAUUCAUGGCUUUGUUUGCUCUGUCUUUUGAAUAAUAUUUACAGCUUUUUAGCCAUGGCCUUAAAAAUAAUCUUAACCUUAUUAUUCAAAUAGAUGUCUCAUCAUGCUGAAUAACACAUGACCGACACAUGCUAAGAAUAAAGUGAAUGGUACCAUGAAAUCUUCCACCCACGUAACUGGAAAUGCAUGGAAUGCAAAACUGGAUCUCAGCUGCAAUGCUGUCUGCAGAGAUGGCUCUUCACGUUGGUGGAGGAAGCCACCUACUCAUCAUUCAUUAGAGAGGUCUGGAAAGGUUUUGGGAUUGAGGAGAAUCUUACUUACGAAGACAUACCUGAGGAUGUUGUGCCUGAGGAGCUUUACUCACACUUGGAUCUGAUUUAGCUGGUGAGAUCCUGGACCUCUAGCCCAAGCAUAAUGCCCUAAUAAGAUGAAACUGGGGAGUGCUUUGGGGAAGAGAGCCCUAGUGUUGAACAAGUAACUGUGAAUGGCCGGAACGAAUACAUACCAGGUCUGGGACAGUGUUUAUUGGGAGAAAACUUACAGGAGCAGAAACAGGUGUGGCUCCCAUGCUGAUCAUUGUCUUCUGAGGCAGUGCACCAGGAUCAAUAUGGGCCAGAUGUCAGACUUCUAGAGAGGGAAACCAGCCUUUGAGUAUUGAAUUUAAAUGACAACCUUGUGCCUGGACUGAGGAGGCCAGAGCUUCUCUUGUUCAAUCACCCUUGAGCAGUGGUUUUCAAACAUUAGCAUACGUCAGAAUCACCUGGAAGGCUUGCUAAACCACAGGUAACUGGGCCUCAUCUCUGGAGCUUCUGAUUCAGUAGGUCUGGGGUGAGGCUGGAGAACAUACAUUCCAAACAGGUUCCCAGAUCUGGGGGCUGGGGACCACCAUUGAAGAAAC